UACGUAGGCAGCGAGCGUUGUUCGGAAUUACUGGGCGUAAAGAGUGUGUAGGCGGUGCUCUAAGUUCGGUGUGAAAUCUCCUGGCUCAACUGGGAGGGUGCGCCGGAAACUGGAGUGCUUGAGCGUGGGAGAGGAAAGCGGAAUUCCUGGUGUAGCGGUGAAAUGCGUAGAUAUCAGGAGGAACACCAGUGGUGUAGACGGCUUUCUGGACCAUAGCUGACGCUGAGACACGAAAGCGUGGGUAGCAAACAGG
This 253-nucleotide ribosomal RNA is filed under the name uncultured bacterium. RNAcentral's name for it is "partial 16S ribosomal RNA". It matches the Rfam family "Bacterial small subunit ribosomal RNA", at positions 524 to 776 of the family's 1533-position model. The record is from RNAcentral.